GGAUUGCUUCACCCUACACAGAACCCAGUACCCCUCAGAGGAUGCCCUUCUGAGGAGGAGUGUGGUGGGCAGCUCUAGCUUCUGUGCUGAGGGAGAUCUGCUCUGUGCCCUUCUAGAAACCAGUGUGUACUCCCAGAGCAGGGGCCAGGUAUGGCUCAGAGGAUAGAAGAGUAUCUUCUAGAAGGUAUGCCAAGUCCUGUCAGGUCUGCCACAGACUCAACUGAGGCUGGAACUAAAGAUGGGGCCAAACCCAAGCCUGAGAGGGACUGAUUUAGAGGCCAAAGCCAGAGUUGUACCUGAGUGAACAGUGAUGGGUUUUGGUGUGGAUCUCUGGUGAAUGAUGGAAACCCCUGUUGUUCUCAGGCCACAGUGUGAGGAAUUUGAGGUGGUGUGUCGUGCCUAAAGGCCUCAGGGAUGUAUAGCCGGAGCUAAGGAAACAUAAACACGCACCCUGGUAGAUAGAGCGUGUUCUUCCUUGUGUCCCUUUGGGAUAAGUCACGCUGGGGUUCUUUGCAUUGGCUCCUCCCAUUCAGACCGAGGCCCUUCUGUGGUUAGGGUCCAUCAGCCUCCUGCGUUGAGAGAUUUAGGGACCCUGAUUGGUUUUUCUCUUUGCUUCCUAGUUGUGAGGUAGACAGUUAGCUUUGCCAUUCAGUCUAGGUCAUUACCGUCUGGUUCCUUCACCAGAAGUCCAAAGCAAUGGACCUGGGUGAUCUCAGGCUGUGAGAUAAAGAUUUUUAAAAAAAAAAAAAAAAGCUAAUUAUCUCAGACAUUUCAGUAUAGCGAAGGGAAACUGAGUAUCGUGUGCCCAAGAGCUACAAAGUAGUGGCCCACAGAGGCUGGGUGUGCCUUAAGGAUGGGAGUGUCUGUGAGGCCUUAGAGCUUAACCACAAGGAGCCCACUAGUCAUCUGUCUAAAAAAGUGUGUCUGUCAGUGGAGACAGAAAAGGGAGACAGUAUUGCUGUGUGAGAACAGUGUCUCCAUUAAACUGAAAAUGCUCUGGUGUACUGGGCACUCUGAGGGGCCAUGGCUUCUGGAAGCAGCCUGUGGAGGCUGGCACGUACUGGAACUGAUGAAGUCUCAGGGCGGUAUACCUAGACUGAAGUAGAUUCGGAAGCUGGGAGCCUAGGGGCGUGUGUCUGGGCGGUGGAGUCAGGAGAGCAUGGGGCCACCAAAAAGUAUCACAUAGCUCCUAAGAGCUCAGCUGAGGGGUUGGGGUGGGGGUGGGGAGCCAGCAGCCUGUGCAGAGGCUCAUUCACGUGAGUGAGUCCUGACUCUGCCUCACAGACUUUAUAAGCAGGGAAGCGCCGGGCGUUGGUGGCGCACGCCUUUAAUCCCAGCACUCAGGAGGCAGAGGCAGGCAGAUUUCUGAGUUCGAGGUCAGCCUGGUCUUACAGAGUGAGUUCCAGGACAGCCAGGGCUAUACAGAGAAACCCUGUCUCAAACAAAACAAAACAAUCAGCAGGGAAGCAUGAAGCAGGCUCUGGCAAGGAGUGAGGAUGCACCAUGGUGCUAAAGGUCUGGCUUUGAGGCCAGGCUCCAAUGCUGAGAAAAGUUGUUCCAAUUGGCCAGGUGGUCUGGCACUGCCUGGUGGAGGCCAUUCAUGCUUCUCAGAGGUGUGACACUCAAAAACAGACUUUCCUGUGCUUCUGAAACUCCCACAGGAGAUGGAGUUGAAAGGUAUGGGAAUCUCCGUCCAGGUGUCACAGCAUCUCUGCAUCUGUCCCGACCUUCUCGAGAGAUGGUCUUUCAGGGCCAACAUACUCCUGGGUUCUGACCGGAUGUGACAGCUGCAGCCCCUGCUACAGAUAGUUAGAAGACUCGGUUCCAGGAAGCAGUCUGCUACCCCAAGGGCAGCAUUAUCUACAGUACUGGAAUGUUCUCUGUGCAGAUUGUGCCUGGGAGAAAUGACAUUUCCUCCCAGGCUUAAAGGAGCAAGGCGCUGGAGUCUUGCUUGAGUAGUGGAUCGUUUCUAUAUUCUGGAAAGUAAAACACUGACAAAACUUAUUCUUUUAGCAUUGGCUGCUGUGAUGCUCAGAGUCCCAAGGCAAGACCAGCCGCAGCAAGAAAGGCCACGUGUCAGCCCAGUAGUCAUUUUUAUAGUAUUUAAAGUGAUUUUUUAAAAAAAAAUAUAACUCAGAUCUUAGUCUUAUUAUAAAAGAAAUUACUCAGUUAAACCAGAAGAGAACCAACAAAAACCAAUAGUGACCGCAGGAGCCAGAAAUGGUCAUAGAUCAGAUUUUGGUGUGUGUCCUUCUGGUCUUUUAAAUCUUUUAUACAUUUGUAAAUGAAAAACACUAUGUGUGUGAUUCUUAUUUGCAUACACCCAAGGCCUCACUCGGUACAUCGUGAAUACCUUCUCUUGCCUUUGGUUGGUUGGGUUUUAUGUUCCAAAGGUCCACCAUGGAGCCUUUCGAAUAAGGAAGGGGUUGAAGGGUUAACUGUGAAUUGCAUCCCCUCAGGAUCUGCUAGCUGAAGCCCUUACCCUAGUGCCUUGGAUGUGACCACGGGUCAGGCUUCCUGUGGCUAACAGAGAGUGAUAGCCAUCCUAAGUAUGUCGCAAUAUGGAUCACGUGCAAUGUGACAAGUCCACAGUGGACCACGGAUCCAGGUCUAUUCUGCCAUUUCCAGGGACAUGGAGGGAUAUCCUAGAACCUCCAGAUCUGCAGUUUUCUGUGCCUGGCUGUGUGGAGUAGUGUCAUGGUUCCUGCCUAUUUGCUGCUGAUGCUGUGUGUAUCAGGCUCCUAAAUCUACCUGAUGUGGAGAAAUGAACCAGUUCUUCAAUCACCAAGGACCAAGUCUAUGGAGGUGCAAGUCCCUCAUAUGAGAUCCUGUGGAUUCUAAUUUUUCUACCAAAAGAACAUACAUUGGCUUUGUGAUCACAGCGUGACCUAUCCUGAACAAGGGGCAGUUCCACAGGCUGGAGUGAGGAGGCCUGAGCUGAGCACUAUGGUUAGACCGUGUCUCCCCUUCACCCCUCAAUGCUCACGUGUGGAAAACUUAAGCUUUCUGCUUGCACAGGACAUGGCUGAAGGAGCCCUGCAGAUGAGGAGUCGGCCUGAUAUCAGAAUGUAGAGAGACUCUCUUGUACUGAGUAGAAGCAUCACCUGUCAAUAAAAAAGGCCUAUGGCCAAUGAGAUAAGACAGGGAAUAGGAGGUGAGAGUUCUGGCAGAGAGAGGGAGAGGGUAGAGAGGGAGAGAGAGAGGGGAAGAGAGAGGGGGGAAAGAGGGGGGGAGAGAGGGAGAGAGGGAGAGAGAGAGGGAGAGGGGAAAAGAGAGGGGGUAGAGAGGGAGAGGAGAGAGAGA
Mus musculus (house mouse) is the source of this 3303-nucleotide long non-coding RNA. RefSeq annotates it as predicted gene, 33442. The record is from RefSeq and is a predicted model, not a curated record. The transcript has 4 exons. NCBI's taxonomy places the organism in Eukaryota, Metazoa, Chordata, Mammalia, Rodentia, Muridae.